GCCGGGGUGGCGCAACUGGUAGACGCAACUGGCUUAAACCCGGUCCCACCUGCGGGUUCGACUCCCGUCCCCGGCA
This 76-nucleotide transfer RNA is filed under the name Catenulispora sp. RNAcentral's name for it is "tRNA-Leu". It matches the Rfam family "tRNA". From Rfam's summary of the family: Transfer RNA (tRNA) molecules are approximately 80 nucleotides in length. The record is from RNAcentral. Lineage: Bacteria; Bacillati; Actinomycetota; Actinomycetes; Catenulisporales; Catenulisporaceae.